Molecule: non-coding RNA, 70 nt
Organism: Phrynosoma platyrhinos (Desert horned lizard)
Lineage: Eukaryota; Metazoa; Chordata; Lepidosauria; Squamata; Phrynosomatidae
Source: the annotation of a GenBank genome assembly
GCCAAUGUGGCUUAGUGGUUUGAGUGUUGGACUCACUAUGGAGAUCAGGGUUCAAUUCCCUGCUCAGCCA